Molecule: ribosomal RNA, 253 nt
Filed under: uncultured bacterium
Lineage: Bacteria
Description: partial 16S ribosomal RNA
Rfam family: Bacterial small subunit ribosomal RNA
Source: RNAcentral
UACGGAGGGUGCAAGCGUUAUCCGGAUUCACUGGGUUUAAAGGGUGCGUAGGUGGGUUUGUAAGUCCGUGGUGAAAUCUCCGAGCUUAACUCGGAAACUGCCGUGGAUACUAUCAAUCUUGAAUACUGUGGAGGUAAGCGGAAUAUGUCAUGUAGCGGUGAAAUGCUUAGAUAUGACAUAGAACACCGAUAGCGGAGGCAGCUUGCUACACAGUCAUUGACACUGAGGCACGAAAGCGUGGGGAUCAAACAGG